RNAcentral lists this ribosomal RNA (1362 nucleotides) under unidentified marine bacterioplankton. Its description in RNAcentral is "bacterial SSU rRNA". It matches the Rfam family "Bacterial small subunit ribosomal RNA", at positions 1 to 1367 of the family's 1533-position model. The record is from RNAcentral.
UUAGAGUUUGAUCAUGGCUCAGAUUGAACGCUGGCGGCAUGCCUUACACAUGCAAGUCGAACGGCAGCACGGGUGCUUGCACCUGGUGGCGAGUGGCGAACGGGUGAGUAAUACAUCGGAACAUGUCCUGUAGUGGGGGAUAGCCCGGCGAAAGCCGGAUUAAUACCGCAUACGAUCUACGGAUGAAAGCGGGGGACCUUCGGGCCUCGCGCUAUAGGGUUGGCCGAUGGCUGAUUAGCUAGUUGGUGGGGUAAAGGCCUACCAAGGCGACGAUCAGUAGCUGGUCUGAGAGGACGACCAGCCACACUGGGACUGAGACACGGCCCAGACUCCUACGGGAGGCAGCAGUGGGGAAUUUUGGACAAUGGGCGAAAGCCUGAUCCAGCAAUGCCGCGUGUGUGAAGAAGGCCUUCGGGUUGUAAAGCACUUUUGUCCGGAAAGAAAUCCUUGGCUCUAAUACAGUCGGGGGAUGACGGUACCGGAAGAAUAAGCACCGGCUAACUACGUGCCAGCAGCCGCGGUAAUACGUAGGGUGCGAGCGUUAAUCGGAAUUACUGGGCGUAAAGCGUGCGCAGGCGGUUUGCUAAGACCGAUGUGAAAUCCCCGGGCUCAACCUGGGAACUGCAUUGGUGACUGGCAGGCUAGAGUAUGGCAGAGGGGGGUAGAAUUCCACGUGUAGCAGUGAAAUGCGUAGAGAUGUGGAGGAAUACCGAUGGCGAAGGCAGCCCCCUGGGCCAAUACUGACGCUCAUGCACGAAAGCGUGGGGAGCAAACAGGAUUAGGUACCCUGGUAGUCCACGCCCUAAACGAUGUCAACUAGUUGUUGGGGAUUCAUUUCCUUAGUAACGUAGCUAACGCGUGAAGUUGACCGCCUGGGGAGUACGGUCGCAAGAUUAAAACUCAAAGGAAUUGACGGGGACCCGCACAAGCGGUGGAUGAUGUGGAUUAAUUCGAUGCAACGCGAAAAACCUUACCUACCCUUGACAUGGUCGGAAUCCCGCUGAGAGGUGGGAGUGCUCGAAAGAGAACCGGCGCACAGGUGCUGCAUGGCUGUCGUCAGCUCGUGUCGUGAGAUGUUGGGUUAAGUCCCGCAACGAGCGCAACCCUUGUCCUUAGUUGCUACGCAAGAGCACUCUAAGGAGACUGCCGGUGACAAACCGGAGGAAGGUGGGGAUGACGUCAAGUCCUCAUGGCCCUUAUGGGUAGGGCUUCACACGUCAUACAAUGGUCGGAACAGAGGGUUGCCAACCCGCGAGGGGGAGCUAAUCCCAGAAAAUGCAUCGUAGUCCGGAUCGUAGUCUGCAACUCGACUACGUGAAGCUGGAAUCGCUAGUAAUCGCGGAUCAGCAUGCCGCGGUGAAU